UGUCUGUCCAAAUGUUAAAACAAAAAAACCAUAUAAAUCCAGAUAGUAUAAUACAGUUAAAGAUAAGUACAUCACGAAGAACAACCUAUUUUUGAUAAUAGUUUCAAGAAAACACUCAUCUUAAAAAUUUAAACUUGUAGGUGAGGACAAUUUUAUAUCUCUAACACACUCAUGUAUGUGAAUGCUCACCAGACUUGAAGCCUAAACAACCGAAGACCUGCUUUACCUUGCGCUAAAAUGUUUAAUUAAUAAAUUAGAGCGGCCACACCUCGACAAGAUGUCAAAAAUAGCUCAAGCUUACAGGUGAGAACCACGAGAAUGGUUUUAUAUCUCUAACUAAUAGUACAUAUAAAUGUGACAUAUCGAACAAGUCAAAGUUAGCAUUUAUAUAUGAAAAAGAAAUUCAUAAUCUAACAUCAAACCCAUAGCCACAUUAGCUUUUGCUAGCUAAAGUUCGCAUUUCACUGGUAAAAUAAUUGGAAAUGUUUUUAUUAGCUCACAUAGCAAAAGCCUCAUAGAAUAUUUCAAUAAUACUCUUGAAAUUCUACUGCAACACAAUCUCAAGUUUGAAUCUACAUGAAUUGGGUAUUAAAUCUAAAAACAACUCCUCAACCCCCCUCCUUCUCAAAAUAACAAUAAAGAAAGAAUCUUUACAAGUUAAAGAUCUAGAUCACACGAAAAAGUCCGGACUUUUCAAUCAAGACAACAAGAGAACAAGAAUAAACAAGCACCAACAGCACCAAUAUUCAAGAAUAAAAAGAGAAAUCAA
This 769-nucleotide unclassified non-coding RNA is filed under the name Hevea brasiliensis (rubber tree). The record is from RNAcentral. Lineage: Eukaryota; Viridiplantae; Streptophyta; Magnoliopsida; Malpighiales; Euphorbiaceae.